This 823-nucleotide long non-coding RNA is filed under the name Pan troglodytes (chimpanzee). RNAcentral describes it as "long non-coding RNA NONPTRT005992". The record is from RNAcentral. Lineage: Eukaryota; Metazoa; Chordata; Mammalia; Primates; Hominidae.
GUUCCUGUGCGCGGCGAACCAGCAGUAACACUUGGCAUGCACUGGCAGUGCCCAUCUGUUCCUAAGUGUGUGAUCAGCAACAUUACGUUGGUAACUUAAAAUUGGCCAUGGUGAAAGUGUUUACACCACAGUCAUUGGCAAACCCUAGAAAUCGAAGAUUCUAAAUUCCUGGGAGAACGGCUUAUUAAACCUCAACCAGCACACCGCUGCACGUUGUUGGACAUUUUACUGGCUAUUCCUGCUCAGGUGUGUGUAAGUCUUCUUGCGUUUGGCUCCCCCCGGGCUGAGCGUGGCUGGGCUGGGCUCCCCACUCUGGGUGGGUCCAGGCCUGCUCACUGCAUCUCUCAUCCUCCCUCUGCAGCCACCUGAGGCCUGUUCUUCUCACGGCGGAGGGCAGGCACUCACAGGGUGAGGCCAGCGGUGCCCAUGUAUUCCAAGCUACUGCUCACGUCAUGUCUGCUAAUGUCCCAGUGGUCAAAGCAGGUCACCAGGUGGCCAAGCCUAGUGACAAUGGGGGAGGGGAUAGCUCCUCCCAUGGAGGUCAAGGGGGAAGGAAUUUGAGAUUUGCUGAACCACCAUCAAACCUGGAGACUGAGAAUGCAUUGGGGAGAGGGGGUCUCCUUCCAGACUGUGCCCGUGUGAAUUAGGGGCAAAUACUGGCCUCCUGGGGCAGGGGACUUGGCGUCUUUGAUUCCAUGUCCCCUGCACCUGGGCCAGGGCUUGACCCAUAGGAGCAGCUCUGUAAAUAUUUGUUGACUGAUUGAAAAAGAGGAUAACAUUUGUAUUACCUCCCAUCGGAGCCCUACUGGAAUUAGCACAGAAC